GCCCUGCCUCCCUCCCAGGGAUCUAUUGGAAGGCAAGGUACCUAGGGAGAGGAACGGGGUCAUUACAGGCAUAAGGGUUGUGGUUGGGAGGUGAAUUUUCCAGACAUAUGCCUGGGUCCAAAUCCUGGCUGUAGCUAUAUGACUUAGGCCAAGUAACUCUCUGUCUCUGUUGCCUUAUCUAUGCUGACUGUAUCUACUUCAUAGAACUGUAGGUGUAAGUGAAAAGCAUAUGUAAAUGUCAAAGUGCCUGGUCUGUAAUAAGUGUUCAAUAGUUAAUUAUGAGAAAACUGACCAAGCAAGCAUUAAGAGAGAAAGUGUGUUUAUAGUUUCCUGCAGUGAUGCAUUUCUUUGCUUGGUCUUACUUUCUACACGUGUCCCUUCCAGCUAAGGAUUAGAGGGGUUGUGGCAACCUGUAGCCAUAUAAGUGGUCUUAGAAGGGUUAUGAUCAUUUCCUCCCACAUGAAGUCUCUUUAGUAGUUUCCCAUUACUUUCUGGAUCCAGGCUAGACUUCUUAGCCAGCCAUUUCAGGACUUGACUCCUUUCUACCCUGCAUUCCACUGUUCUCUUGCCAGAAUAAUUUGCACCCUGAUUCAGCCAGUUCCCUAACUAUCUGUGUGUCCCCUCCUUGCACAUAACUGAGGUUCUGACUUUCAAGCCUUUUGUUAUGAUUUCCCCUUUGCCUGACCUGCCCAGGCUUCAUCUCUGCUAAAAUCCAUAGAAGUUCAGACCCAGUGAUGUCUCCUCAAAGCCUUUCCUGGUUUCUCUGGGGAAAAACUGUCCUUUCCCUGAGCAGUCUCCUCUGCCUGUGUUUAUGACCCCAAAGUUCAUGGCUUCUUGGGAUUAGGAAUUGUGUCUGAUUCAACAUUGGGUCUGACACUGAGUAGGUACUGAGUGAAGGAAUCGAUGGAUGCAUGGUGGACAGAUGAAUGGAUGAUGUACAGAACCACAAGCCAGAGUCAUUACUAAAAAGAAGCCUGCAGACUGGGCUGUGGUUGGAUCAGUAAGGGUCUGUCACAGGCUGCCAAGAGAAAGCCAAGGGGUCCAGGAAGUUGCUGCUGCUUGUGUGAACUAUAAACUUUCUUCUUCC
RNAcentral lists this long non-coding RNA (1087 nucleotides) under Marmota monax (woodchuck). Lineage: Eukaryota; Metazoa; Chordata; Mammalia; Rodentia; Sciuridae. The record is from RNAcentral.